GUAAUCAGGUAUGGGGAGAGCAGAUGUGCAGAAUAAACACAUCUUAAGGGAACCAAGUCUCAAGAGAAAUCAAGUAAUUAUGAAUGAACAGCUCUAAAAAAGAGGGAGAGAAUAUUUUCUUAAAUCAACUUAGUUGCUGUUAUGACCAAAGAACAGAUGUUGUGGUGUUCACCCCAGAGAAGCAAGAGAUUUUCCCUUAAACCUCAGCUUAUAAUGAAUGGAAGUGAAUGACAGGGAGAGAGUUUUUCUCUCGUUUCCCAGAACUCUAUCCUUUUCUUCUCAAACAGUUGGAAACUGUAGCCAAUGCAGUAGACAGUGAUAUGGGAGAACCAAAUCGUCAUCCAAGCAUGUUUCUCUUACUUUUGGUGUUGGAGAGACUCUACGCUUCCCCGAUGGAUGGUACUUCUUCUGCCCUCAGCAUGGGACCUUUUGUUCCCUUCAUUAUGAGGUGUGGUCACUCACCUGUCUACCACUCCCGUGAAAUGGCAGCUCGUGCCUUGGUCCCAUUUGUUAUGAUAGAUCACAUUCCUAAUACCAUUCGAACUCUGUUGUCCACACUCCCCAGCUGCACUGACCAGUGUUUCCGGCAAAACCACAUUCAUGGGACACUUCUCCAGGUUUUUCAUUUGUUGCAAGCCUACUCAGACUCCAAACACGGAACGAAUUCAGACUUCCAGCACGAGCUGACUGACAUCACU
RNAcentral lists this small RNA (698 nucleotides) under Pan troglodytes (chimpanzee). RNAcentral's name for it is "processed transcript". Lineage: Eukaryota; Metazoa; Chordata; Mammalia; Primates; Hominidae. The record is from RNAcentral.